RNAcentral lists this ribosomal RNA (2004 nucleotides) under Triticum aestivum (bread wheat). Its description in RNAcentral is "partial small subunit ribosomal RNA". The record is from RNAcentral. Lineage: Eukaryota; Viridiplantae; Streptophyta; Magnoliopsida; Poales; Poaceae.
AUGGAAAGACCCAGCAGCGGGGAGGAGGGAGAGGGGGACUCUCCCAACGAGACGAGGAUCUCGCCGGAGACGGCGGCGGCAGAAGCGGACGACUCCGUCCCGUACAUAGGGCAGCGGUUCCUGACACACGAAGCGGCGUACGAGCUCUACAGCGGGUUUGCAAAGCAGUGCGGGUUCUCGAUCCGGCGGCACCGUACGGAGGGGAAGGACGGCGUGGGCAAGGGUCUGACCCGGCGGUACUUCGUGUGCCACCGCGCCGGCAACACGCCAGCGAAACCCUUCGACGACGGCGCCAAGCAGCAGAGGAACAGGAAGUCCUCCCGCUGCGGGUGCCAGGCGUACCUACGCAUUGGUAGGGAUGCUGGAGCCGGCGGUCUGGAGUGGCGAGUCACGGGGUUCUCUAACUACCACAACCAUGAGCUCCUCCGGCAGGAUGAAGUGCGCUUUCUGCCGGCGUACCGUGUCAUCUCGGAGUCGGACAGAGACAGGAUCUUGGUGUUUGCAAAAUCUGGGAUCACUGUGCAGCAGAUGAUGAGGAUAAUGGAGCUGGAGAAGUGCGUCCAGCCGGGGAGCCUCCCAUUUACUGAGAAGGAUGUGAGAAAUCUCAUACAGUCCUUCAGGAGGUUCGAGCAGGAGGAGGAGAGUGUCGACCUGCUUCAGAUGUGCAGAAAUGUUAAGGAGAAGGAUCCCAAUUUCAAGUACGACUUCACCAAAGACGCCAACAACUGCGUUGAGAACAUCGCCUGGUCGUACGCAUCAUCGAUCCAGUCUUACGAGGUAUUUGGUGAUGCUGUUGUGUUUGACACCACUCAUCGGCUAACUUCUAUUGACAUGACACUGGGUAUUUGGAUUGGAAUGAACAAUCAUGGGAUGCCUUGCUUCUUCAGUUGCGUGCUUCUGAGGGAGGGAAAUCUGCAAUCCUUCACAUGGGCAUUACAGGUAUUUCUCAACUUCAUGAACAGAAAAGCUCCACAGACAAUAUUGACUGAUCAAAAUAUGUAUCUCAAAGAAGCAGUUCAAAAGGAGCUACCAAACACAAAGCAUGCCCUCUCCAUCGGGCUUAUUGCAUCCAGGUUUCUAUCUUGGUUCAAUGCAGUUCUCGGGAGACACUAUAAUGACUGGGAAAAUGAGUUUUAUAGGCUGCACAACAUGGAAAGCACAAUGGACUUUGAUCUUGGAUGGAGUGACAUGGUGAGCUGCUAUGGAUUACAUGGAAAUAGGCACAUUGCUAGCUUAUUUGCAUCACGGAAGCUUUGGGCAUCGCCAUAUUUGAGAGGACAUUUUUUGGCAGGGCUGGCUGCUUUGCCGGGAAUUUCAAAAAUAAAGGAUUUUAUUCAGCGGUUGUUGAGCGCCCAAACAUGCCUAUCCUGUUUCAUUGAGCAGGUUGCGGUAGUUGUUGACUACAAAGAUCAAGCUGGGGAACAACAAAUAGUGCAACAAAACUCGGAAAAUACAAUUCUGAAGACGGCAGCUCCAGUGGAAGGACAUGCUGCAGCUGUUUUCACCCCAUAUGCAUUCUAUAAGCUACAGGAUGAGCUUGUAGAGGCAGCCCAUUAUGCAUACUUCCACUUGGAAGGGAAUGCUUUUCUUGUCCGGCACCAUACCAAGACAGAUGGCGGUUGCAAUGUCACAUGGAACCAAAAGGAGGAGCUACUUUCUUGCAGCUGCCAAAUGUUUGAGUCAUCAGGGAUCCUCUGCCGGCAUGCCCUCCGUGUGCUCACAACGCUAAACUACUCUCAGAUCCCGGACCAUUACCUUCCUGUCCGAUGGCAUAGAACCCAGCCACAACCUUCCAAGUCAUUGAUUGGCGCUCCUGAUCAUGGCAGAUCAUAUGAAAGGGUGAAAGCACUCCAGUCCAUGGUCUCAGUUCUGGUUAGCGAAGCAGGCAAAUCGGAGGAACGGAUGGAUCUCGCGACACAGGAGGUCUCUGUCCUGCUGUCCCGGAUAAGGCAGCAACCUGUUGUGGCGAAUGUUUCAGGUGAUGGUGUUCGUCAGCAGCGGUGA